This 484-nucleotide ribosomal RNA is filed under the name uncultured bacterium. RNAcentral's name for it is "partial 16S ribosomal RNA". It matches the Rfam family "Bacterial small subunit ribosomal RNA", at positions 30 to 507 of the family's 1533-position model. The record is from RNAcentral.
AUUGAACGCUGGCGGCAGGCCUAACACAUGCAAGUCGAGCGGAUGAAGGGAGCUUGCUCCUGGAUUCAGCGGCGGACGGGUGAGUAAUGCCCAGGAAUCUGCCUGGUAGUGGGGGAUAACGUCCGGAAACGGGCGCUAAUACCGCAUACGUCCUGAGGGAGAAAGUGGGGGAUCUUCGGACCUCACGCUAUCAGAUGAGCCUAGGUCGGAUUAGCUAGUUGGUGGGGUAAAGGCCUACCAAGGCGACGAUCCGUAACUGGUCUGAGAGGAUGAUCAGUCACACUGGAACUGAGACACGGUCCAGACUCCUACGGGAGGCAGCAGUGGGGAAUAUUGGACAAUGGGCGAAAGCCUGAUCCAGCCAUGCCGCGUGUGUGGAGAAGGUCUUCGGAUUGUAAAGCACUUUAAGUUGGGAGGAAGGGCAGUAAGUUAAUACCUUGCUGUUUUGACGUUACCAACAGAAUAAGCACCGGCUAACUUCGUG